This 381-nucleotide unclassified non-coding RNA is filed under the name plant metagenome. Its description in RNAcentral is "partial contains 5.8S ribosomal RNA, internal transcribed spacer 2, and large subunit ribosomal RNA". The record is from RNAcentral.
UGCAGCCUGUCUCGCUCCAGACGAGCUCGUCGCUCGCUCCGGGCGGUCCGUAAUUAUAGUCUCCCGGGAAGAGCUUGCGCUCGUCGAUCCAGAGCUCGCCGUCGAGGAGAUGCAGCUCUUCGACGCCCGCAUGCGUGUGCGGAGGAUAGCUGGCGCCGGGCGCGAGGCGCACCAGCAUGCUGACCCGGUGCCCUCCCGUGUCGGUCGACAGCAGCUUGCACUCGAUGCCGGGGGCAACCUGCUCCCACUCAGGCUCCGACCAGCGCCACGCCGGCGGCAGCACCGGCUCCUUUCCCGUCUCCUUGGCAAUGCGAAGCGCCAGUCGGGCGCGAAUCGAUGCGGUCGGGCGCAGCACAUCGCUGGGCCAGGAGACGAACCGAU